RNAcentral lists this long non-coding RNA (476 nucleotides) under Ananas comosus (pineapple). RNAcentral describes it as "long non-coding RNA (ACOM_LNC042156)". Lineage: Eukaryota; Viridiplantae; Streptophyta; Magnoliopsida; Poales; Bromeliaceae. The record is from RNAcentral.
ACCUCGGUGCGUCAUAUGUGGUGGAGAGCACCGAGUGUCGACUUGCCCGCAGCGCGAUGGCAAGUGUUUCAAGUGUGGCCAACCGGGACAUCUUAUUCGGGAGUGCCCGAGCUGGACGUCGUCUGCGCCGACGGCGGCAUCAGCACCGACUACCCCGAGACAGCUUGCGGGGUUACCACCAGUGAUGUCGGCUGGGCGCGCAUCAUCACCGCGUCAGCCGGAGGGAUCGAGAGCGCCUAGCGGCCGAGUCUUUGCCGCUCAGGUGGAAGAGCAACCUGCAACACCCGACGAUGUCGUGGCAGGUAUAAUUGUGAUUAAAGGCACUAGAGCUAGAGCUUUAUUCGAUACUGGUGCAUCUCAUUCGUUCAUUGGUGCAUCUUUUGCAAAAACUCAUUGUAAGGAAGUGAAUUCUCGAAAUACGAGAGUUAGACUUUGUAACACACUGGACCUUUGCAAAUUGCGAGGUUCGAGUGUUU